This 1295-nucleotide long non-coding RNA is filed under the name Gallus gallus (chicken). RNAcentral's name for it is "lncRNA (ENSGALG00010011159.1)". The record is from RNAcentral. Lineage: Eukaryota; Metazoa; Chordata; Aves; Galliformes; Phasianidae.
AGCUGACAAGAGAUGCAAUCAAGGUGAUUGAAAACUACAUCUGGAUGCUCGAUUGGGCUCUGAAAACCACAGGAUGUUGCUGCGUUAUGGAAUCUCUGCAUCCACUUAAUCAUCAGUGUCCAGCAGGAGAUCACAAAGCUCUAGAGGCAUCGUUGUAUCCAGUUCAUCAUCGGAAACUUCCACAACCACAUUGGAAGGGACCAGUCCUCUUGUGCCAUCUGUCAGCUCUCCCAGAAACCAGCCAUUCUCAUCCACAUCUCCAAAGACAAUAAACAAUACUGUCCAGCAGUCAGAGGAAGCUCACUUUCUGGGUUCUCACUACGACCCUCAAAAGGACUGUAGCUAUGGUGAGCUAAGAAUCUUGGAAUUAUUGCUGAUACUUGUCCUGGAGAAUGCAGGGUGAAGGACAAAGGCUCUGCUGCUGAUUCUCCGCUCUCAGCUUCAGGGCUGUCCUCUGACAGAAAGCAGCACUCAGGACUGUUCCCGUGGACUUCUUUUUUGGCUUUGAGUUCACGCUCCAGGUCUUCCAGAUGACUUUGAAGACCUUUGGUAUCUUGGAUGGUAGAAUGGAAUGGACUGGAACUAUUGUUGAGAUUCUGGUUUGGUUGGGCAGGAGUCUCUCUUGUUGCCUCUCCCAGCUCCGUUCUGCCCUCAUCUCCAGCUGGAACACUCUCUCAGUUGGUAUCAGGAAGAGCUCGUUCUGCUGCUCUUUCUUCUCUCUUGCACACUCUGUGAGAAUGAGUUUCAGAAAGCACUACUCACUGACAGGAAAUAAGGGGAAACUUGAAAGACUUUGCAACGUGAGUCCUGGCAGUGUACUGCCAGCAACUGAUUUGGCCGUCCAGGGUCCUGGCACCACAAAUGCCUCCUUGCCAAAUGCAGCAAUAAAGUGUUUUGGGGAAAAGCCAACUCACAGGUAUUUUUUGCACAUCCAUAACGCAGCACCACAGGCCAACAACAGUGCAGACAGCAGCACAGCUGAGAACAGUACCAUCGCUGCGAUGCGGCGCUUUCGCACAGAUUUGUGAACAGCAGCCUUUGUGCUUUUCCCAGCAUUCAUCCCUGGAAGAAAUGAGACAGUGUCCCACGUUACCUUCACCUGCACUACAGACAAUCUCUCGGUGUGCUUUAUGGACCCAGGAGAUUUUCAUCAGUGGGUACCUCUGUCUCUGGUGUCUAAGCACCAGACAACAAAAAGGAUUGCUUCCACUUCUCGUUGGGUGGGGUGAGGCUGCACCAGCACUGCCCACGUAUUCCUCUGGGCUGAGGGCUGGGGCUCUGCCCUGGGGUCUGGG